UACGAAGGGGGCUAGCGUUGCUCGGAAUGACUGGGCGUAAAGGGCGCGUAGGCGGUUCGGACAGUCAGAUGUGAAAUUCCUGGGCUCAACCUGGGGGCUGCAUUUGAUACGUUCGGACUAGAGUGGGGAAGAGGGUCGUGGAAUUCCCAGUGUAGAGGUGAAAUUCGUAGAUAUUGGGAAGAACACCGGUGGCGAAGGCGGCGACCUGGUCCUUGACUGACGCUGAGGCGCGAAAGCGUGGGGAGCAAACAGG
RNAcentral lists this ribosomal RNA (253 nucleotides) under uncultured bacterium. Its description in RNAcentral is "partial 16S ribosomal RNA". It matches the Rfam family "Bacterial small subunit ribosomal RNA", at positions 524 to 776 of the family's 1533-position model. The record is from RNAcentral.